RNAcentral lists this ribosomal RNA (493 nucleotides) under uncultured bacterium. Its description in RNAcentral is "partial 16S ribosomal RNA". It matches the Rfam family "Bacterial small subunit ribosomal RNA", at positions 30 to 523 of the family's 1533-position model. The record is from RNAcentral.
AUUGAACGCUGGCGGCAUGCUUUACACAUGCAAGUCGAACGGUAACAGGUUAAGCUGACGAGUGGCGAACGGGUGAGUAAUGCAUCGGAACGUGCCCGAUCGUGGGGGAUAACGCAGCGAAAGCUGCGCUAAUACCGCAUACGAUCUGAGGAUGAAAGCGGGGGACCAUAAGGCCUCGCGCGAUCGGAGCGGCCGAUGUCAGAUUAGGUAGUUGGUGGGGUAAAGGCUCACCAAGCCAACGAUCGGUAGCUGGUCUGAGAGGCCGACCAGCCACACUGGGACGGGUACACGGCCCAGACUCCUACGGGAGGCAGCAUUGGGGAAUUUUGGACAAUGGGCGAAAGCCUGAUCCAGCAAUGCCGCGUGCAGGAAGAAGGCCUUCGGGUUGUAAACUGCUUUUGUACGGAGCGAAAAGGCUCUCUCUAAUACAGGGGGCUCAUGACGGUACCGUAAGAAUAAGCACCGGCUAACUACGUGCCAGCAGCCGCCGUAA